Molecule: long non-coding RNA, 450 nt
Filed under: Mustela putorius furo (domestic ferret)
Lineage: Eukaryota; Metazoa; Chordata; Mammalia; Carnivora; Mustelidae
Description: lncRNA (ENSMPUG00000030185.1)
Source: RNAcentral
GGGCAAAGCAAAUUUUUAAUAUUUAAUUAUAUUUAGCUUUGAGUGUCUACAGAUAAUAGCUCAUUAAAAUAUAACUCUAAGUUUUGAGGUUUGGAAAUUCUGUCAUUUGGUAUAAUAGGAUAAUCUUAAAUUUAUGGCUUAGGAAUAAACAGCUCCUUUUUUUUUUUUUUUUUUUUUUUUGUCCUCCUUACAUAACACAAAAACAACUGAUCCAGCUUGGCACCAACUUUCUCCUUCAAAGUCACCUUUGUCUGAAAUCUAGCACCUCAGGUUUCAGUCAAAUACCUUGCAGAUGAGAAAAGGUGUCUUAACAAAAAUUUCUUGGAAUUUUAUGACAGUGUUCAUUCCUGGCAGCCUCGGGGAAUCCUUUUUUCAUAGGUUGAAGAUCAGGAUUUGUAACACAGAACAAAUGUGGCCUGGUCACAAGUGAGUACUAGAGAACUACUUCCC